This 73-nucleotide transfer RNA is filed under the name Taphrina deformans PYCC 5710. Its description in RNAcentral is "tRNA-Trp (CCA) (tRNA-Trp-CCA-1-1)". It matches the Rfam family "tRNA". Rfam says of the family: Transfer RNA (tRNA) molecules are approximately 80 nucleotides in length. Their secondary structure includes four short double-helical elements and three loops (D, anti-codon, and T loops). Further hydrogen bonds mediate the characteristic L-shaped molecular structure. tRNAs have two regions of fundamental functional importance: the anti-codon, which is responsible for specific mRNA codon recognition, and the 3' end, to which the tRNAs corresponding amino acid is attached (by aminoacyl-tRNA synthetases). tRNAs cope with the degeneracy of the genetic code in two manners: having more than one tRNA (with a specific anti-codon) for a particular amino acid; and 'wobble' base-pairing, i.e. permitting non-standard base-pairing at the 3rd anti-codon position. Lineage: Eukaryota; Fungi; Ascomycota; Taphrinomycetes; Taphrinales; Taphrinaceae. The record is from RNAcentral.
GACUUCUUGGCGCAAUUGGUAGCGCGUCAGAUUCCAAAUCUGAAGGUUGGGAGUUCGAGUCUCUCAGAGGUCA